GCAGCUGAAUUGGAGGAUGAUGUGCUUUCACGAGGACUAAUUCAGCUGACAUUUCAUAGCGAUUUUGGUUAAGGGAUCCUCUACGUCGGGGUGGCGACUUUAAAACUAGCGCUUGGUGGGAGGCAACCCAUCGUUGGUUUGUUUGUGUUUUUGUUUUUCUUGUUUUUUUUACUUUAUGUUUUUGUUUUGUGUUUUCCUAAGUUUUGGUUGCUAGUGCGGAUACUUUGAUUUUUGGGUGUUAAUGUCUUUGUUUUCAGCGCUGCAAUUUCUACUCUUACUUUGCUGCCAACGCUGAAUAGGCCAGCUCUGCAAUGGACAGAGCUGAAUUUUUAUUCUGACGGAGGCCAGCGCUGUACGUCUACUCUGACUAUGCUGAGCAGUGUCAGAGCUGAAUUCCACUCUGCAAUUUUCAGCGCUGACAUUCUCCUCUCUGCAACAGUGCGCAAAUCCCACUUUUCGUCACCUC
RNAcentral lists this long non-coding RNA (466 nucleotides) under Salvia miltiorrhiza (redroot sage). Its description in RNAcentral is "long non-coding RNA (SMIL_LNC003314)". Lineage: Eukaryota; Viridiplantae; Streptophyta; Magnoliopsida; Lamiales; Lamiaceae. The record is from RNAcentral.